Molecule: ribosomal RNA, 484 nt
Filed under: uncultured bacterium
Lineage: Bacteria
Description: partial 16S ribosomal RNA
Rfam family: Bacterial small subunit ribosomal RNA
Source: RNAcentral
AUUGAACGCUGGCGGCAUGCUUUACACAUGCAAGUCGAACGGCAGCGCGGGCUUCGGCCUGGCGGCGAGUGGCGAACGGGUGAGUAAUGCAUCGGAACGUGCCCAGUAGUGGGGGAUAGCCCGGCGAAAGCCGGAUUAAUACCGCAUACGACCUGAGGGUGAAAGCGGGGGACCGAAAGGCCUCGCGCUAUUUGAGCGGCCGAUGUCGGAUUAGCUAGUUGGUUGGGUAAAGGCUUACCAAGGCGACGAUCCGUAGCUGGUCUGAGAGGACGACCAGCCACACUGGGACUGAGACACGGCCCAGACUCCUACGGGAGGCAGCAGUGGGGAAUUUUGGACAAUGGGGGCAACCCUGAUCCAGCCAUGCCGCGUGCGGGAAGAAGGCCUUCGGGUUGUAAACCGCUUUUGUUCGGGAAGAAAUCCUCUGGGCUAAUACCCCGGGGGGAUGACGGUACCGGAAGAAUAAGCACCGGCUAACUACGUG